This 253-nucleotide ribosomal RNA is filed under the name uncultured bacterium. Its description in RNAcentral is "partial 16S ribosomal RNA". It matches the Rfam family "Bacterial small subunit ribosomal RNA", at positions 524 to 776 of the family's 1533-position model. The record is from RNAcentral.
UACGUACUGUGCGAACGUUAUUCGGAAUCACUGGGCUUAAAGGGUGUGUAGGCGGCUAGCUAAGUAGGGUGUGAAAGGCCUCGGCCUAACCGAGGCAUUGCGCUCUAAACUGACUGGCUUGAGUAAGACAGGGGUGUGCGGAACUUCCAGUGGAGCGGUGAAAUGUGUUGAUAUUGGAAGGAACGCCGGUGGCGAAAGCGGCACACUGGGUCUUUACUGACGCUGAGACACGAAAGCCAGGGUAGCGAACGGG